This 76-nucleotide transfer RNA is filed under the name Nostoc sp. RNAcentral describes it as "tRNA-Gln". It matches the Rfam family "tRNA". From Rfam's summary of the family: Transfer RNA (tRNA) molecules are approximately 80 nucleotides in length. Their secondary structure includes four short double-helical elements and three loops (D, anti-codon, and T loops). Lineage: Bacteria; Bacillati; Cyanobacteriota; Cyanophyceae; Nostocales; Nostocaceae. The record is from RNAcentral. RNAcentral also lists the same sequence under 1 other name.
AGCCCUGUGGUGUAAUUGGCAACAUAACGCCCUUUGAAGGCGAAGAUUCCAGGUUCGACCCCUGGUGGGGCUGCCA